This 583-nucleotide long non-coding RNA is filed under the name Salmo salar (Atlantic salmon). RNAcentral describes it as "lncRNA (ENSSSAG00000105737.1)". The record is from RNAcentral. Lineage: Eukaryota; Metazoa; Chordata; Actinopteri; Salmoniformes; Salmonidae.
AGCUCAGACAGAUCCAGCUCAGACAGAUCCAGCUCAGAGAGGCCCAGCUCAGACAGAUCCAGCUCAGAGAGGCCCAGCUCAGAGAGGCCCAGCUCAGAGAGGCCCAGCUCAGAGAGGCCCAGCUCAGACAGAUCCAGCUCAGAGAGGCCCAGCUCAGACAGAUCCAGCUCAGAGAGGCCCAGCUCAGAGAGGCCCAGCUCAUGAACUCCAUCUGCAGCAGAUUUUAAUUUGGAAUGGAAAAUGAAUGUGUUUAUAUGACAAAAUGUUAGUGCAAAGAAUAAUUUCCCAUGACUCUUUAAUCAAACUAAAACGUAUUGUUACUGUAUCGUAUUGGAGCGCAUGUAUCAGGAUACGGAACCAAUUAUCUUGAAAGAGAAAAAUGCACAGCCCUAGUGUGUGUGUGUGUGUGUGUGUGUGUGUGUGUGUGUGUGUGUGUGUGUGUGUGUGUGUGUUAAACUGUGUCUGGGGUCUGUGUGUGUCGGCCCACCCGCGUGUUGUUGCGUAAUCACAGAGCAGACUGAUGCUAAAAAUGGCCCUGGAUAAAAGUAUUGUGACCCAGAGCAGGGCUCUCUCUGUGUGUCGG